AAUUCAGAAGUUGAUCAUGGUUCAGAACGAACGCUGGCGGCAAGCUUAACACAGGCAAGUCGAACGGACCGUACACGCAGCUUGCUGCGUGUAUGGUCAGUGGCAAACGGGUGAGUAAUGCAUAGGAAUCUGCCUAGUAGUAUAGGAUAGCCACUAGAAGUGGUGGGUACUACUGUAUAAUCCCUGCGGGGGAAAGAUUUAUCGCUACUAGAUGAGCCUAUGUCAGAUUAGCUAGUUGGUGGGGUAAUGGCCCACCAAGGCUAUGAUCUGUAGCUGGUCUGAGAGGAUGAUCAGCCACACUGGAACUGAGACACGGUCCAGACUCCUACGGGAGGCAGCAGUGGGGAAUAUUGGACAAUGGGCGCAAGCCUGAUCCAGCUAUGCCGCGUGAGUGAGGAAAGCCUUAGGGUUGUAAAACUCUUUCAGUGGGGUAAGAUAA
This 439-nucleotide ribosomal RNA is filed under the name Anaplasma ovis. Its description in RNAcentral is "bacterial SSU rRNA". It matches the Rfam family "Bacterial small subunit ribosomal RNA", at positions 1 to 452 of the family's 1533-position model. Lineage: Bacteria; Pseudomonadati; Pseudomonadota; Alphaproteobacteria; Rickettsiales; Anaplasmataceae. The record is from RNAcentral.